This 1372-nucleotide ribosomal RNA is filed under the name uncultured bacterium. Its description in RNAcentral is "bacterial SSU rRNA". It matches the Rfam family "Bacterial small subunit ribosomal RNA", at positions 28 to 1381 of the family's 1533-position model. The record is from RNAcentral.
GAUGAACGCUGGCGGCGUGCCUAAUACAUGCAAGUCGAGCGAACGGACGAGAAGCUUGCUUCUCUGAUGUUAGCGGCGGACGGGUGAGUAACACGUGGAUAACCUACCUAUAAGACUGGGAUAACUUCGGGAAACCGGAGCUAAUACCGGAUAAUAUUUUGAACCGCAUGGUUCAAAAGUGAAAGACGGUCUUGCUGUCACUUAUAGAUGGAUCCGCGCUGCAUUAGCUAGUUGGUAAGGUAACGGCUUACCAAGGCAACGAUGCAUAGCCGACCUGAGAGGGUGAUCGGCCACACUGGAACUGAGACACGGUCCAGACUCCUACGGGAGGCAGCAGUAGAGAAUCUUCCGCAAUGGGCGAAAGCCUGACGGAGCAACGCCGCGUGAGUGAUGAAGGUCUUCGGAUCGUAAAACUCUGUUAUUAGGGAAGAACAUAUGUGUAAGUAACUGUGCACAUCUUGACGGUACCUAAUCAGAAAGCCACGGCUAACUACGUGCCAGCAGCCGCGGUAAUACGUAGGUGGCAAGCGUUAUCCGGAAUUAUUGGGCGUAAAGCGCGCGUAGGCGGUUUUUUAAGUCUGAUGUGAAAGCCCACGGCUCAACCGUGGAGGGUCAUUGGAAACUGGAAAACUUGAGUGUAGAAGAGGAAAGUGGAAUUCCAUGUGUAGCGGUGAAAUGCGCAGAGAUAUGGAGGAACACCAGUGGCGAAGGCGACUUUCUGGUCUGUAACUGACGCUGAUGUGCGAAAGCGUGGGGAUCAAACAGGAUUAGAUACCCUGGUAGUCCACGCCGUAAACGAUGAGUGCUAAGUGUUAGGGGGUUUCCGCCCCUUAGUGCUGCAGCUAACGCAUUAAGCACUCCGCCUGGGGAGUACGACCGCAAGGUUGAAACUCAAAGGAAUUGACGGGGACCCGCGCAAGCGGUGGAGCAUGUGGUUUAAUUCGAAGCAACGCGAAGAACCUUACCAAAUCUUGACAUCCUUUGACAACUCUAGAGAUAGAGCCUUCCCCUUCGGGGGACAAAGUGACAGGUGGUGCAUGGUUGUCGUCAGCUCGUGUCGUGAGAUGUUGGGUUAAGUCCCGCAACGAGCGCAACCCUUAAGCUUAGUUGCCAUCAUUAAGUUGGGCACUCUAAGUUGACUGCCGGUGACAAACCGGAGGAAGGUGGGGAUGACGUCAAAUCAUCAUGCCCCUUAUGAUUUGGGCUACACACGUGCUACAAUGGACAAUACAAAGGGCAGCGAAACCGCGAGGUCAAGCAAAUCCCAUAAAGUUGUUCUCAGUUCGGAUUGUAGUCUGCAACUCGACUACAUGAAGCUGGAAUCGCUAGUAAUCGUAGAUCAGCAUGCUACGGUGAAUACGUUCCCGGGUCU